AAUAAACUUCACCAGCCCGCCAGACUAUUACAAGCGAAAGCCUAAAACUCAAAGGACUUGACGGUGUCCCAUAUUCAACCUAGAGGAGCCUGUCCUAUAAUCGAUGAUCCACGAUUCACCUCACCAUUUUUUGCCAAACAGCCUAUAUACCGCCGUCACAAGUUCACCUUUUGAAAGGAAAAAAGUGAACAAAAUAGCCCAGUGCUAGUAUGUCAGGUCAAGGUGUAGCUAAUAAACUGGUUUGAGAUGGGCUACAUUUCCUUUGUAAAGGAAACACGAACGGUCUUAUGAAAACCCACCAGAAGGAGGAUUUAGUAGUAAAGCGGGAUUAGCAAGUCUGCUUGAAUACACUGCCCUGGGACGCGUACACACCGCCCGUCACCCUCA
RNAcentral lists this ribosomal RNA (387 nucleotides) under Xerotyphlops vermicularis (Eurasian blind snake). RNAcentral describes it as "partial 12S ribosomal RNA". It matches the Rfam family "Bacterial small subunit ribosomal RNA", at positions 853 to 1405 of the family's 1533-position model. Lineage: Eukaryota; Metazoa; Chordata; Lepidosauria; Squamata; Typhlopidae. The record is from RNAcentral.